This 253-nucleotide ribosomal RNA is filed under the name uncultured bacterium. RNAcentral describes it as "partial 16S ribosomal RNA". It matches the Rfam family "Bacterial small subunit ribosomal RNA", at positions 524 to 776 of the family's 1533-position model. The record is from RNAcentral.
UACGUAGGCAGCGAGCGUUGUUCGGAGUUACUGGGCGUAAAGCGUGCGUAGGCGGUUGUCUAAGUUUGGUGUGAAAUCUCCUGGCUUAACUGGGAGGGUGCGCCGAAAACUGGGUGACUGGAGUGUCGGAGAGGUAAGCGGAAUUCCUGGUGUAGCGGUGAAAUGCGUAGAGAUCAGGAGGAACACCUGUGGUGUAGACAGCUUACUGGACGAUAACUGACGCCGAGGCACGAAAGCGUGGGUAGCAAACAGG